UGAUAGGUCGAAGGUGUAAGUGCAGCAAUGUAUUUAGCUUAUCGAUACUAAUAGGUCGAGGACUUGACCAA
This 71-nucleotide ribosomal RNA is filed under the name Clostridioides difficile. Its description in RNAcentral is "partial 23S ribosomal RNA". The record is from RNAcentral. Lineage: Bacteria; Bacillati; Bacillota; Clostridia; Peptostreptococcales; Peptostreptococcaceae.